This 510-nucleotide ribosomal RNA is filed under the name uncultured bacterium. RNAcentral describes it as "partial 16S ribosomal RNA". It matches the Rfam family "Bacterial small subunit ribosomal RNA", at positions 28 to 507 of the family's 1533-position model. The record is from RNAcentral.
GACGAACGCUGGCGGCGUGCUUAACACAUGCAAGUCGAACGAAGAGCGAUGGAAGCUUGCUUCUAUCAAUCUUAGUGGCGAACGGGUGAGUAACGCGUAAUCAACCUGCCCUUCAGAGGGGGACAACAGUUGGAAACGACUGCUAAUACCGCAUACGAUCUAAUCUCGGCAUCGAGGAUGGAUGAAAGGUGGCCUCUACAUGUAAGCUAUCACUGAAGGAGGGGAUUGCGUCUGAUUAGCUAGUUGGAGGGGUAACGGCCCACCAAGGCGAUGAUCAGUAGCCGGUCUGAGAGGAUGAACGGCCACAUUGGGACUGAGACACGGCCCAGACUCCUACGGGAGGCAGCAGUGGGGAAUCUUCCGCAAUGGACGAAAGUCUGACGGAGCAACGCCGCGUGAGUGAUGACGGCCUUCGGGUUGUAAAGCUCGGUUAAUCGGGACGAAAGGCCUUCUUGCGAAUAGUGAGAAGGAUUGACGGUACCGGAAUAGAAAGCCACGGCUAACUACGUG